AGAAAAAGGCUCCCGUUUCCGCAAACAGUUAGCAGUCUUGAUUCAGAUGACUGCAGCACGUCAUCAACAGCAGAGAAGGGUCACUUUGUGGUGUACACCACUGACGAAAAACGUUUUGUGCUUCCCUUGGAUUACCUAAACAAUGAAAUUGUUAAAGAGCUAUUCAAUCUAGCAGAAGAAGAGUUUGGAUUGACAAGCAAUAGACCUCUCACCUUGCCAUGUGAUGCUGCCUUCAUGGAAUAUUCAAUCACCAUGAUCAAGAAGAAUGUGGCUAAAGAUGUAGAGAAAGCAUUGCUGAUUACCUUAGCUAGCAAUCGAUGCUCAUCAACUUUGUAUCCUCAUCAAGAAGUCAGAAAUCAAGAAUUGUCAAUUUGUAGCUUCUGAAAUACCAUACAAAGUUAAUAUACACAUUGAUACAUUAAUGAAAUACAUAAUUUUUUUUCACAUUUGGUUGUUCUUUCAUCAAAAACAAUUCUUGAAACAUCCCUUGGAUAACAUAGCCCCCAGAUCAAUCUUAGUUUAAAGUGAAAUCUAAAAUUGUCCUGGUUAAGUACCUCAACAACAAUUAGAUUGAAACAACCAGAAAAUAUAGCAUUUGAAGUCUGAAAAAUGGAAAAAUUCAAGUGUCUGAAAUUGAAACUUCAAUCUACAGAGACUACAAAGCUCUUUCUAGCCCUUCCCAUUCAUUAAAACAGUUGCUUCUUUUUAAAUCCAAAAUUUGUUACUUCCUGUGGAAGAAACUACCUCAAGACAAGUGGUCUCUAUAUGGGGACUAAAUUUCUUUUUGUAAUAAUUUUCUUAAAAUCUUUUUCUGAUGAAUCUGUUAGUGUUCUUAGCAUUCUGCGUCAUAAAUCCCAGAAAACUAUUUCCCCUGAAAUUUUUUCUUGCGGGUGCAGAAGAGUUGGCCCAUUGAAUAACUAUAGCUUUUUAAGAUUUUUAAGUAAAUUAUGGACUGUGAGGAGAUUUUGUCGAUUUGAAUUUCCGUUUGGCGAUGACUAGAAUUUGUUAGGUGAUCAUGGUCUUUGAUUUUUUUUCAUUCAUCACCAAACAGAAUUUGUUCAUCAAGAUGGUUCUUUGGAUUUUCCUCAAGAUGUUAGAAAUCAGCCAUUGUCAAUUUGACUUCUGGUUUGCUAAUGACCAGAAUAUGUGAGGCGAAGAUGGUCUUUUUGUUUGCUGGAUGAUUUUGACUACCAGUAGCAGGAUCAACAAACGGAAAACAUGGUGCACAGUUAGAAGAUAGGUGCCAGCUUUUCCUGUCUCACUGAUAAAAUGCAACAGAAAAAAUAAAAUGAAGAUGCACAGGCAAGGAAGGAGCAAGAGAAUAUAUGAGAAAAAUUAAUGAUCACCACAAAUUAAUGACACCCUAUGUGAUGCAACCCAUGUUCUAUUUCAUACAGAAAUCUGCAAUCCUGUCAAAUAAUCAAACGACACAUAAUAACCGUAGCCAACGUACAGUAUGAAUGAUUUUUUCCGUCGGGACAGGUUGCCUUCUUCAUCUCUCACCUGAAAAUCUGACCGUCAAUGAAGAGCAUCACGACACAAAAAAUGGGACCUAUUUCAAUGUUAAACCACUUGAUCGAAAACGUACAUAUAUGCAUAUCUUCCAUGUUCCACAUUGGCAAACAACCCCACAUAGCCCACUUCUCACAUGGUUUUGUCUUGCAUGUCUGCCUGAUCUGUGAAAGUGUCCAUUGUGGAAUUGCUUCUGGUCUUCUGUAUAUAUAAUGCGUUCACUUCCAUUUCCUUGUAUCUAUCAUAAGGUUAACAUUUCCAUAUUCUAAGAUCUAAACAUCUCCUUCCUUAGUAAAAUCAGUUUCAAGAUGAUCAGUGCUAAGAAGCUCAUCAAAUUGGCAAGAAAAUGGCAGAAACUGGCUGCCAUUAGGAGAAAAAGGAUUGAAUUUCCAGGAACUGUUAGUGGUGCAGAUUCAGAAUAUUGCAGCACAUCAUCAACAGCAGAGAAGGGCCACUUUGUUGUGUACACUACUGAUAAUAAACGCUUUGUGCUUCCCUUGGAUUACCUUAACAAUGAAAUUGUUAGAGAGCUAUUCAAUCUAGCAGAAGAAGAGUACGGAUUAACAGGCAAUGCACC
Molecule: long non-coding RNA, 2089 nt
Filed under: Populus tremula
Lineage: Eukaryota; Viridiplantae; Streptophyta; Magnoliopsida; Malpighiales; Salicaceae
Description: long non-coding RNA (PTRE_LNC002876)
Source: RNAcentral